AUUGAACGCUGGCGGCAGGCCUAACACAUGCAAGUCGAACGGUAACAGGAAGAGGCUUGCUUCUUUGCUGACGAGUGGCGGACGGGUGAGUAAUGUCAGGGAAACUGCCUGAUGGAGGGGGAUAACUACUGGAAACGGUAGCUAAUACCGCAUAACGUCGCAAGACCAAAGAGGGGGACCUUCGGGCCUCUUGCCAUCGGAUGUGCCCAGAUGGGAUUAGCUAGUAGGUGGGGUAACGGCUCACCUAGGCGACGAUCCGUAGCUGGUCUGAGAGGAUGACCAGCCACACUGGAACUGAGACACGGUCCAGACUGCUACGGGAGGCAGCAGUGGGGAAUAUUGCACAAUGGGCGCAAGCCUGAUGCAGCCAUGCCGCGUGUAUGAAGAAGGCCUUCGGGUUGUAAAGUACUUUCAGCGGGGAGGAAGGGAGUAAAGUUAAUACCUUUACUCAUUGACGUUACCCGCAGAAGAAGCACCGGCUAACUCCGUG
This 490-nucleotide ribosomal RNA is filed under the name uncultured bacterium. RNAcentral's name for it is "partial 16S ribosomal RNA". It matches the Rfam family "Bacterial small subunit ribosomal RNA", at positions 30 to 507 of the family's 1533-position model. The record is from RNAcentral.